GGUGGACGUGUGAUUGAUCAGUAUAGGAGUUCACUCAAGCCUGAUAUUGUUGAGACAUUGGUUUGCACUAGAGAUUGGUUAUAUGGAGAGCAAGAACAAACUUCAAUGAGUGUGGAUAACGAAGAAGAGGAUGUGUUGACAUUGGAUAGUAGCAGUUCUUGUAUUGGAGUUGAAUGACAAAGAUGGACAUGACAAACUAACUUGCGUUGGACCCAAUCUGAUGGACAAUGAGCAUAUUCAUUCAAGGGAUCAAGACUUAAGAGUGGACAAUUAUGAUGUGG
Long non-coding RNA from Alnus glutinosa, 281 nucleotides. RefSeq lists it as uncharacterized. The record is from RefSeq and is a predicted model, not a curated record. Lineage: Eukaryota; Viridiplantae; Streptophyta; Magnoliopsida; Fagales; Betulaceae. The transcript is spliced from 3 exons.